Xiphophorus couchianus (Monterrey platyfish) is the source of this 3095-nucleotide long non-coding RNA. RefSeq lists it as uncharacterized. The record is from RefSeq and is a predicted model, not a curated record. Lineage: Eukaryota; Metazoa; Chordata; Actinopteri; Cyprinodontiformes; Poeciliidae. The transcript has 2 exons.
UUUUCAUCAAAGUAAAGUUCCUGUUUCUGAUUAGUACAAUGGGCUCCUUCAUAUAAAGUACAAACAUGCAUGUACAGGCAGAGAAGCGUGUCCCAGUAGCCGUCCAUCCUCCUCCGCCAGGUCCAUGAAUAAUGCAGAACUCCCAUUUUCAUGCCACUUCGCAUCCCCUUUCCUCCUCCUCCUCCUCCUGCUCCUGUGCUGUCGUAAAAAUAGAACCGUAGACCUGCAAGUUUUCACUCUGGUGUUUACACCAUCAUGACCCUCCCCACUGCUUUUUCUCCUGACAGUGGGAUUAUUAGUCUCAUUCAUCUCAGCCUGCUCCCCUUCUCUAUCCUCCACAGGAACCAGCGAGCAGAGACGAGGCAGACGGGUUUUGCCGGGCCAGGCCGGGAGAGGAGGGGAGGUCCUCAGCCCGUUGCUUAGUGACUCCUGUACCAUUUCCGGCCCACGCUCCAGUGGUUGGGGACCCGAGAUGUAAAGCCCAGGUUCCUCAGUGCUGAUGUGUUCAGGUCACACAUAUUCUGUUGAUCAUCAUUAUGCAUCGUUUAUCUGCAAAUCACUGUGCAGACAUCUUUCUUUUUCUUUUUUUUUUUCACCUACCGGUUUAUCCAGGAAGGAGUCAGAACUGAAAUGAAAUGUGCAUGCUUUAGUCUCUAGUCUCUUUUUUUUUUAAAAACAGACAGCACAAAGCAGGGAGAGCAUGAGGAAUGGACAUAUGGUGCUAUUUGAAAGGAUGACAGAACAAAAUCAAACUGUGUGAGACGAAAUUAGCUGAAACGUGCCGAUACAAGUGUUGCAGGGGAAUCAAAGCGCUGCUUUUUGAAUAUGAAGCAUAUCGCAGACGCUCUGCGCGACUGCUUUUUUUUUAUUACUUUUUUUUUUCUUUAACUAACCCUCCCUCCUCCUCUCCACCUCGCCCCUCCAUCCCCCCUGAGUUCCCUGCUGUCUCUAAAGCUUUUCAAAAAGCUUUUAGUUUGGCAUUUGAUUCUCUGCUCUCCUUUUUUCUUCCCCCCCCCCCCAAAAAAAUGUGUCGGGCUGUGUUUUUUUUCCCCUUCUUUUCUUCUCUUUCAUGCAGAGCACCUUGGCCACUGAAAGGGAGUGUUGGAGGGGUCCGCGGUUAUUGAAUGUGAAGCCGGAUGACAUGGAGAAGAGAGGACAUGCAAUGAAAAUGAAACAAGCAGACAUGAGGAGACAGGGAAAGCAAAGGUAAGAGGCAGAAGAUGGAAAGGGACAAAAAGAGAAGAUGAAAGAAGCAGGGGAGAGAGGAAACGGUGGAGAUGAGAGGAGAAAGAAGGUGAGAGAAAAAGGAAAGAGACAACAGAGAGAAAGAGAGAGGAAAAGAAGAAGAAACAUGAUGAAAUAAAAACACACAGACAAAAAAUAAAUAAAACAACAGGACUAGAGGACAAAAGGACAUUAAAUAGACAAGAAGUAAGAGAACCUGCAGCGUGGAAAAACGAACUGAGAGAUCCGAGGAAACAAGGUGAUGGGAUAACAGGGAGACGAAGAAGAUGAGUUCAGGGAGGAGAACAUAAAAGGGAAGGAGGGAAAAAAAACAAACAGAAACAUGCCUGUGAAAAGUGAGAAGAGUGUAUACCAGACCAGAAUGGGGUGGUGGGUGGAGGGGGAGGAGGAGAAGAAGAAGAAGAAGAAAAGAGAGAGGACAGGAGGAGGAUGAGAAACCAGUCGUUCUUUACCCAGGGGGAGGCACAGCGGGGGAUGGAGGGGCGUACGGGGGGGAGAUGGGCUCCUCAUCCCUCUCUCCCCCAACUGAGCCUCCUUCUUCAAGGUCAGACACACACACACACAUGCACAGAGGCAAGCAGUUCUGGCAGACAUGGUACACACCAGUACACACACCCACACACACACACAGUGGAGCUCAAGUAGAAAAGACGCCUUCUGCCUGCCUUUUUCUCUCUGACUCUGUGUACCAAGCAGCCAAGUCUCAGUCAACCAUCUGGAGAUAAAAAAAAACAUUCCUCCCGUACACACACACACACACAUACACGCACACAUAUGAAGUGUGUGUUUAUAAUAAUAGCCCAAAUGCCUCUAUUGAUUCUUUCUCUUCCUGCGUCUCUCUGCAUCUGCGUGUGUGUGUGUGUGCAUGUGAAAUCAGUUCUUAUCACUUCUACAUGAAGAACACUUUUCCUUUCUUACCUUAAAAUAUACAUUUGCCACUAAGCUCCAAGUUAGAGCUAUGAACAAUUUGGCAUCCCAAAUAUGCUGUGCAAAUUUAUCGCGGCUAUCAAUAUUAUCACAAUCUUAAUGGUAUUAAUUGAAAAUAUGCCAAAUGUUAUCCAUAUUGUCACUGCAGUUGCUGCUAGCCUAAGGGGUAGUAGUUGCAAGAGUAGUAAUGAUAUUUUUGUAUCUAUAUGUUCUAUGGAUUAAUACAUUUGACAUCUGUGCAUAUUUCAGUUUCGUUAUGUUUCUCCAACUAUUGUUAUGUUCUAGAAACACAUUGACAAAUAAAAAAAGUCUUGCGUCUUUUAUCUAUAGUCAUUUAAAUUUAUAUUCUGAACAACAACAUUCAGGUUAAUCAGCACAAGGUGACAUCACUUCCUGUGUCAUUUCUCAUUUCUAUCUGAAAUGGUAUAAAGUCCAGAACACCGCUAUGUUUAAGUAUUGUUGUAUUUAGUGGUAAAAGAUCUUCAUUUAGAUCUUUACUCCAUUUAAUAUCUGUUCAAUGGACAUUUAGUUUCUAUUACUGUGUCUUAUACUAGUAAGAUACAGUAUGUCACUUUAAAUCAGCAAUGUCACAUAAGUAUUCCUCCGUCUAUUCAUCUAGCUUUUUUUCCUUUUUUUCUGCAAAAUUAGUUACUGACUGGUGAAACACUUUUAUUCUGAACAGAAAAUGAUUCAAACACCUAGAAAAUCUGGCUAGACAGGUAAAGCCGUUGCUUGUCCCUGUUUCCUGUGAACGUGUCACCACACCUCCUGUGUUACUGAAACCGAGCAGCAGCUGGGGCUUUAAAAGGAGCGAAUAUUGAGACAUGGCACAAAACAAACAAAAACAGAGACUGCUCCCAGAAAAUGUCAAACGCGGACAUGUUGUAAGUACCAGGCUGGAUGUUUUAUCCCUCAAAAAAAAA